This 368-nucleotide transfer-messenger RNA is filed under the name Enterobacteriaceae (enterobacteria). RNAcentral describes it as "Pantoea_A carbekii Standard tmRNA". It matches the Rfam family "transfer-messenger RNA". Rfam says of the family: Bacterial tmRNA, also known as 10Sa RNA or SsrA, is named for its dual tRNA and mRNA-like properties. Its role is to liberate the mRNA from a stalled ribosome. The record is from RNAcentral. Lineage: Bacteria; Pseudomonadati; Pseudomonadota; Gammaproteobacteria; Enterobacterales. RNAcentral also lists the same sequence under 1 other name.
GGGGCUGAUAAUGGAUUCGACAAGAUUUUCAAAAUCUAAGGUGCAUGCCAAGGUGCGGUGGGCCUUGUAAAAAACCGCAAAAAAUAGUUGCAAAAAAAGAAAAUUACGCUUUAGCGGCCUAAUAUGCUGUGUAAAGCCCUUUCUUCCUAGCUUUUGCUCUUUAGGACGGGGUUAAAAGAAAGGUCAAAGAUACUAAGAGCUCGCGUAGAUGCCUUGCUUACGGUGGACACGUUAAAUUUUUUCAGAAGCUAGUUUAUGAAGCGCGUGUCUGUCCGCACUUCAUGAGCAAAAUUAAAGAUUAGACUAAGCAUGUAGUACUGAGGACGUAGGAAUUUUGGACGCGGGUUCGACUCCCGCCAGUUCCAUGA